Long non-coding RNA from Carcharodon carcharias (great white shark), 351 nucleotides. RefSeq lists it as uncharacterized. The record is from RefSeq and is a predicted model, not a curated record. The transcript has 3 exons. Lineage: Eukaryota; Metazoa; Chordata; Chondrichthyes; Lamniformes; Lamnidae.
UGUGGUUCAGAAGGUCUUGUGACACCUUCAGGUGAAUGCUGGGAAGGUUUCUACUGCUUACAAGGAGCCAAGGUGCCAGAAAAUCCAGUCAAGGAUGACACUGGAGGCCCCUGUCCCCCAGGUCAUUUCUGUCCAAAUGGCACAGCUUUUCCACUGGGAUGUCCUGCAGGAACAUACAGUGCUCUCGAAGGGCAGGGUAGUUGCAGUCCAUGUGUUGAAGGGCAUUUCUGCCCUUCAAAUGCUUCAUCUUAUGAAAGAAACAUUUGUGUGCCUGGGCAUUAUUGUCCUCUAGGAACAGAAUUUAAAGACAAAUAUCCCUGCCCCAAAGGGACAUACAACAGACUGUUAGGG